UUGAACGCUGGCGGCAGGCCUAACCCAUGCAAGUCGAACGGUAACAGGAAGCAGCUUGCUGCUUCGCUGACGAGUGGCGGACGGGUGAGUAAUGUCUGGGAAGCUGCCUGAUGGAGGGGGAUAACUACUGGAAACGGUAGCUAAUACCGCAUAAUGUCGCAGGACCAAAGAGGGGGACCUUCGGGCCUCUUGCCAUCGGAUGUGCCCAGAUGGGAUUAGCUUGUUGGUGGGGUAACGGCUCACCAAGGCGACGAUCCCUAGCUGGUCUGAGAGGAUGACCAGCCACACUGGGACUGAGACACGGUCCAGACUCCUACGGGAGGCAGCAGUGGGGAAUAUUGCACAAUGGGCGCAAGCCUGAUGCAGCCAUGCCGCGUGUAUGAAGAAGGCCUUCGGGUUGUAAAGUACUUUCAGCGGGGAGGAAGGGAGUAAAGUUAAUACCUUUGCUCAUUGACGUUACCCGCAGAAGAAGCACCGGCUAACUCCGUG
Molecule: ribosomal RNA, 489 nt
Filed under: uncultured bacterium
Lineage: Bacteria
Description: partial 16S ribosomal RNA
Rfam family: Bacterial small subunit ribosomal RNA
Source: RNAcentral